UACGUAGGGGGCGAGCGUUGUCCGGAUUUAUUGGGCGUAAAGAGCUCGUAGGCGGCUCAGUAAGUCGGGUGUGAAAACUCCAGGCUCAACCUGGAGACGCCACCUGAUACUGCUGUGGCUAGAGUCCGGUAGGGGAGCAUGGAAUUCCUGGUGUAGCGGUGAAAUGCGCAGAUAUCAGGAGGAACACCAGUGGCGAAGGCGGUGCUCUGGGCCGGAACUGACGCUGAGGAGCGAAAGCGUGGGGAGCAAACAGG
Molecule: ribosomal RNA, 254 nt
Filed under: uncultured bacterium
Lineage: Bacteria
Description: partial 16S ribosomal RNA
Rfam family: Bacterial small subunit ribosomal RNA
Source: RNAcentral